Molecule: ribosomal RNA, 475 nt
Filed under: uncultured eukaryote
Lineage: Eukaryota
Description: SSU rRNA
Rfam family: Eukaryotic small subunit ribosomal RNA
Source: RNAcentral
GGCUCAUUAAAUCAGUUAUGGUUCCUUAGAUCGUUCAUACUACAUGGAUAACUGUGGUAAUUCUAGAGCUAAUACAUGCAAAAAGCUCCGACCGUAUGGGAAGAGCGCUUUUAUUAGACCAAAACCAAUGGGGUCGCAAGAUCCCUUUGUAUGGUGACUCUGGAUAACUUUGUGCUGAUCGCAUGGCCUCGAGCCGGCGACGUAUCUUUCAAGUGUCUGCCCUAUCAACUUUCGAUGGUAAGCGAUUUGCCUACCAUGGUUGUAACGGGUAACGGGGAAUCAGGGUUCGAUUCCGGAGAGGGAGCAUGAGAAAUGGCUACCACAUCUACGGAAGGCAGCAGGCGCGCAAAUUACCCACUCCUAGAACGGGGAGGUAGUGACGAAAAAUAACAAUACCGGACUCAAUGAGGCUCGGUAAUUGAAAUGAGUACAGUUUAAAACCCUUAACGAGGAUCUAUUGGAGGGCAAGUCUGGU